AUUGAACGCUGGCGGCAGGCCUAACACAUGCAAGUCGAGCGGUAACAGGAAGAAGCUUGCUUCUUUGCUGACGAGUGGCGGACGGGUGAGUAAUGUCUGGGAAACUGCCUGAUGGAGGGGGAUAACUACUGGAAACGGUAGCUAAUACCGCAUAACGUCGCAAGACCAAAAAGGGGGACCUUCGGGCCUCUUGCCAUCGGAUGUGCCCAGAUGGGAUUAGCUAGUAGGUGGGGUAACGGCUCACCUAGGCGACGAUCCCUAGCUGGUCUGAGAGGAUGACCAGCCACACGGGAACUGAGACACGGUCCAGACGCCUACGGGAGGCAGCAGUGGGAAUAUUGCACAAUGGGCGCAAGCCUGAUGCAGCCAUGCCGCGUGUAUGAAGAAGGCCUUCGGGUUGUAAAGUACUUUCAGCGGGGAGGAAGGGAGUAAAGUUAAUACCUUUGCUCAUUGACGUUACCCGCAGAAGAAGCACCGGCUAACUCCGUG
Molecule: ribosomal RNA, 489 nt
Filed under: uncultured bacterium
Lineage: Bacteria
Description: partial 16S ribosomal RNA
Rfam family: Bacterial small subunit ribosomal RNA
Source: RNAcentral